CAAAUAAAUCCACCCCAUUCAAACUUAUUUGCAAAUAAGGAAAAUCCUUUUAUAUAUACCAAAAUUACCCCCAAUUCAUUGAAACCCAAUUCAACUCCAAUUUCAUGAUUUACACCCCAAUUUAGCCCAAUUUCAUCAAUUAACCAAUUUUAACCAUAAUUUCAAUUUUGACCCCAAUUUUAACCCUAAUUCUUAUCAAUUCCACCAAUUAUGC
RNAcentral lists this long non-coding RNA (214 nucleotides) under Erythranthe guttata (spotted monkey flower). RNAcentral's name for it is "long non-coding RNA (EGUT_LNC001284)". Lineage: Eukaryota; Viridiplantae; Streptophyta; Magnoliopsida; Lamiales; Phrymaceae. The record is from RNAcentral.